Long non-coding RNA from Thunnus maccoyii (southern bluefin tuna), 1719 nucleotides. RefSeq lists it as uncharacterized. Lineage: Eukaryota; Metazoa; Chordata; Actinopteri; Scombriformes; Scombridae. The transcript is spliced from 2 exons. The record is from RefSeq and is a predicted model, not a curated record.
AUCAGCGGAUACAUUUUUCUAAGCGUCACAACCCCCGCGAAAUGACUUGUCUCACUAUCAUGAUUAAAUCCGUUCGGUCUGAUCUCAUUUCAAAAGCCUAGAAGAGCUGCAUGAUUGAAUUGUUUUAUCCCCAUUCAAGUUAGCCAGAGGGCUAAACCGGAAAUAGCCGACUCGGCCAGCGAAAGUCACUAGUGCGCGUGCUCCAUGGACCGCACAAUGCAGGAGAGUCGGAUACUUUCUUACCGGAAGGCGAUUUUUUAUUGCUUCAUGCGCUACUGAGCAACUUCCAUAGGAAUGAACGGGGCCCCGCCUCCGACGCUGUAUCCAGUUCUCUUUAUACAUCCAUGAUCUAGAUGCUUCCUGGGCAGCUGCGCACAGAGAAGUGUCAAAUUCUUCAGUUACUGCAGGUCACACUACUCUGACAGGUGUGUUGCCAAAAGUAAGUAAGUUUGGGAAGAUUAAAAUAAGGCGUUUUAAUGUGAGAUUUACAUAAAUGACGAGAAGAGCUGGUGUGUUGCCAGAGAGAGAGAAAACUACUAAACUGCGCAGUGGAAAAAAACAUCGGGACUCCAGUGGGCAUUUCCCUCCAAAUUAAUGGAUUAUCCUGGGAUGAUUCUAUCUGUGAGUGGAGCUGCUUCGUCUGCCAUCCAGAUUGUCAUCGCUGCUCGUGGAUACCUUCAUCUCUGCGGGAUGCUGACAUGUGGAUGUUGCGCUGUUCCAAGGGGGCAGUAGGAACCAAAUCAAAGGGAACUGAACUAAGGAGCAUUCUAUUUUAUUUUAAUUUUUCCUGAGAUCUCAGAUUACUUUGUUCCUCUUAGGCCCAAAACAGACUUAAAAACUGACCACAACUGAUGUCAUAAAGAAACUCAAAGUUGACAAACAACGUUAAAGGAACAUUUGAAGUGAAGGAACCCAAGAUCAAAUAAGACUAAUCACCUUAAGGUAACUUAAGGGAAAACAAAGACUGUCACAAACCGAUAACUGAUAAUAAGUGCAUUUUGAUCCAACAGAGGAUACAUUUAAUUUGUGUAUCAAGCACUGAGAGUUGAAUACUUCUUAAUUUCUAAUUUACUGCAGUUUUGGUUGUAUAUUCAUUUGUUUUUAAUUUUAUUUUUUGUGGGAUAAUUGAGUUAAAGAUUUGCAUCAAACAAAGAAGUGUUUUUUCUAAAGCGAUGCUUUGCAUGUAUAAAAAGAAGCUAUCAGUAAAAUGAAAAAGGACAGAAUGCCUUUAUAAAUAUAUUUUAUAUUAUUUAUCCUAAGUCAGUGGUCAUGUGUUUUGUGUGGCCUGGAGGUCUUUUCUCCUUGUAGAGGUAUUAUAUUUUUUUUCUUUUGAAUUAGCCUGUUAUUUCUAUACUAUUUUUGAAUUUCAUGACGAAUUUGGUUUAGCUUCAGUUUAAUAGUAGUAAUAGUAGUUUGUUUUUAUUAGUUUUGCUUAUAUCACAGAUUGUUGGAGAGCUUAUAAAAGACUGUCACAAGAUGGUUCCAUCCAUUAUCAUGCCAACCAUAGGCGACACUUUGUGUAUCUACAGACAGGGUCUCAUACACAUGAUAUUGAGAGAGCCUGGUGUUCUUAUAAGGAGAACAUCUACCGCUUCAGGGGGAAGUGAAUGGCCACAGCUCUUAACAUGGUUCCCACGGAUCCUUAAAAAGUCUUAAAAGGCAUUGAAUUCAUUAAUCUAAAAUCAAGGCCUUAAUUGGCAUUAAAAUGUCUUAAAUCAA